GAUGAACGCUGGCGGCGUGCCUAAUACAUGCAAGUCGAGCGAACAGACGAGGAGCUUGCUCCUCUGACGUUAGCGGCGGACGGGUGAGUAACACGUGGAUAACCUACCUAUAAGACUGGGAUCACUUCGGGAAACCGGAGAUUAUACCGGAUAAUCUCUUGAACCGCAUGGUUCAAUAGUGAAAGUCGGUUUUGCUGUCACUUAUAGCUGGAUCCGCGCCGCAUUAGCUAGUUGGUAAGGUAACGGCUUACCAAGGCUACGAUGCGUAGCCGACCUGAGAGGGUGAUCGGCCACACUGGAACUGAGACACGGUCCAGACUCCUACGGGAGGCAGCAGUAGGGAAUCUUCCGCAAAGGGCGAAAGCUUGACGGAGCAACGCCGCGUGAGUGAUGAAGGUCUUCGGAUCGUAAAACUCUGUUAUUAGGGAAGAACAAAUGUGUAAGUAACUAUGCACGUCUUGACGGUACCUAAUCAGAAAGCCACGGCUAACUACGUG
Molecule: ribosomal RNA, 497 nt
Filed under: uncultured bacterium
Lineage: Bacteria
Description: partial 16S ribosomal RNA
Rfam family: Bacterial small subunit ribosomal RNA
Source: RNAcentral